Non-coding RNA from Capsicum annuum, 1850 nucleotides. The record is from Rfam. Lineage: Eukaryota; Viridiplantae; Streptophyta; Magnoliopsida; Solanales; Solanaceae.
AAGCUGCCAGGUGUCGUUGGUUGUAAUAGCUAUAACUGCCUUGCGCUGUAUUUAUAUGUUCUUACUUGAGAUAGUAAAAGGGAAAAAAACAAGGAGUGAGAGUGUUGUAUGCCUUUCCACAAUUUUGUGUGACAUUUUCUUCGUAAUUCUGAGAGAAAAAUAAAUGUUGGGAAUAUGGUUCCUGUAUAUUGUUGUGUAAUUUACAUUUCUGUAAAGAUAGUCUAUUAUACAUAGGUUGGGCAGUGUGUUUUAUGGCUGAAGUUAUGUAGUGUGUGCGCGACUACCAAGUAGUGGUGUUGCAAAAAAGAGAAUGCCCUUGUAUCACCUACCAUGGUGGUGACGGGUGAUAAAGAAUUAGGGUUCGAUUCCAGGGAGGGAGCCUAAGAAACGUCUACAAUAUCUAAGGAAGGCAGUAGGCAUACAAAUUACCCAUUCUUGACACUGGGAGGUAGUGACAAUAAAUAAAAAUACUGGGCUUAAUAAGUCUUGUAAUUGGAAUGAGUAAAAUUUAAAUCCCUUAAUGAGGAUUUAUUGAACUGCAACUCUGGUGCCAGUAACUGCGGUAAUUCCAACUCUAAUAGUGUAUAUUUAAGUUGUUGCAGUUAAAAAUCUCAUAGUUGGACUUUGGGAUGGGUCGGCUGGUCCACAUAUGGUGAGCACCGAUCGUCUCGUCCCUUCUAUCGGCAAUGCAUUCCUGGACUUAACUGGAUAAAGCAAUCCUACACUCUAUAUACAUUAUCAUAGCAUAACAUUAUAGGAAAUCAGUCUUAUUACAUUGGCCAUCGGGAUCAGAGUAUUGAUUAAUAGGGACAGUCGGGGGCAUUUGUAUUUCAUAGUCAGACAUAAAAUUAAUGGAUUCAGGAAAGACGAAAAACUUUAAAAGCAUUUUCCAAGGAUGUUUUCAUUAACCAAGAACAAAAUUUGGGGGCUCGAAGACAAUCAGAUACCGUCCUAGUUUCAACCAUAAACGAUGCCGACCAGGGAUCAGUGGAUAUUGCUUUUACGACUCCUUCAACACCUUAUGAGAAAUCAAGUUUUUUGGGUUUCGGGAGGAGUAUGGUCGCAAGGCUAAAACUAAAGAAAUUUAUGAAAGGGAACCACCAGGAGUGGAGCCUAUGGCUUAAUUUUAUUCAAUAUGGAAAAACUUACAAGGUCCAAAAAUAUUAAGGAUUGACAGAGUGAGAAUUCUUUCUUGAUUCAUCUUAUCCUUUCUGUCAGCUAUGUGCUCCUGGCCUUAACUGGCUAGGUCAUGUCUCCGGUACUCUUACUUUGAAAAAAUUAGAGUGCUAAAAGAUAGCCUAGCUAUGCGGUGGUGGUUCAUGGCCGUUCUUAGUUGGUGGAGCGAUUUGUCUGGUUAAUUCCAUUAACGAACGAGGCCUCAGCCUGCUAACUAGCUAUGCAGAGGUAUCCCUUUGCGGCAAGCUUCAUAGAGGGACUACGACCUUUUGGGCAAUGGAAGUUUGAGGCAAUAACAGGUCUAUGAUGUCCUUAGAUAUUUUGGUCCGCAUAUGUGCUACGCUUAUGUAUUCAAUGAGUUUAUAGCCUUGGCCAAUAGGCUUGUGUGAUCUUUGAAACUUCAUCAUGAUGGGGAUAGAUCAUUGCAAUUAUUGGUCUUCAAAGAGGAAUUCCUAGUAAGUGUGACUCAUUAGCUCGCCUUGCGUACGUCCUUGCCCUUUGCACACAAUGGCCAUCGCUCCUACAAAUUGAAUGAUACGGUGAAAUAUUUGGAUCGUGGAAACAUGGGCGAUACGCUGCCUUUGACAUUACGAGAAGUCUAUUAAACUUUAUUAUUUAGAGGAAGGAGAAGUCUUAACACGGUUUCCGUAGGUGAACCUGUGGAAGGAUCAUUG